GUGGGGAAUCUUCCGCAAUGGGCGAAAGCCUGACGGAGCAACGCCGCGUGAGUGAUGACGGCCUUCGGGUUGUAAAGCUCUGUUAUAUGGGACGAACGGGCAUGGGGCGAAUACCCUCAUGCAGUGACGGUACCGUAAGAGAAAGCCACGGCUAACUACGUGCCAGCAGCCGCGGUAAUACGUAGGUGGCAAGCGUUGUCCGGAAUUAUUGGGCGUAAAGGGCGUGUAGGCGGCCAGACAAGUCUGUCUUAAAAGUGCGGGGCUCAACCCCGUGAUGGGAUGGAAACUGUCGGGGUAGAGUGUCGGAGAGGAAAGCGGAAUUCCUAGUGUAGCGGUGAAAUGCGUAGAUAUUAGGAGGAACACCAGUGGCGAAAGCGGCUUUCUGGACGACAACUGACGCUGAGGCGCGAAAGCCAGGGGAGCAAACGGGAUUAGAAACCCCUGUAGUCC
RNAcentral lists this ribosomal RNA (450 nucleotides) under uncultured bacterium. Its description in RNAcentral is "partial 16S ribosomal RNA". It matches the Rfam family "Bacterial small subunit ribosomal RNA", at positions 354 to 796 of the family's 1533-position model. The record is from RNAcentral.